Molecule: ribosomal RNA, 374 nt
Filed under: uncultured bacterium
Lineage: Bacteria
Description: bacterial SSU rRNA
Rfam family: Bacterial small subunit ribosomal RNA
Source: RNAcentral
AUACGUAGGGGGCGAGCGUUAUCCGGAAUCACUGGGCGUAAAGGGUGCGUAGGCGGCCAAAUAAGCCAGGGGUGAAAGGCUACAGCUCAACCGUAGUAAGCCUUGGGAACUGUAGGACUUGAGUGCAGGAGAGGAGAGUGGAAUUCCUAGUGUAGCGGUGAAAUGCGGAGAUAUUAGGAGGAACACCAGUGGCGAAGGCGACUCUCUGGACUGUUACUGACGCUGAGGCACGAAAGCGUGGGGAGCGAACAGGAUUAGAUACCCUGGUAGUCCACGCCGUAAACGAUGAGUACUAGGUGUCGGGGUCGCGAGGCUUCGGUGCCGUAGCUAACGCAUUAAGUACUCCGCCUGGGGAGUACGCACGCAAGUGUGAA